GGCUGCCGGGUGAACUGGGCGCGGGGAGCCUCUCCAGGCCCGUUCCACCAUGUCGAAGGUUUCGUUUAAAGUCACGUUGACGUCGGACCCGCGGCUACCGUACAAAGUACUCAGUGUUCCUGAAAGUACACCUUUCACAGCAGUCUUAAAGUUUGCAGCAGAAGAAUUUAAAGUUCUUGCAGCCACAAGUGCAAUUAUUACAAAUGAUGGAAUAGGAAUAAAUCCUGCACAGACUGCUGGAAAUGUUUUUCUAAAGCAUGGCUCAGAACUUCGAAUUAUUCCUAGGGAUCGUGUUGGAAAUUGUUAAUAGCUGCUACUUGGAACAUUCAAUUGCCUUUCAGAAUAAAUACUGGUAUAUUUUGUUAUUGUAAAAUUGAAA
RNA transcript from Dipodomys ordii (Ord's kangaroo rat), 379 nucleotides. It is a transcript of the gene named ubiquitin-fold modifier 1 pseudogene, with no coding region annotated. The record is from RefSeq and is a predicted model, not a curated record. The transcript has a single exon. Lineage: Eukaryota; Metazoa; Chordata; Mammalia; Rodentia; Heteromyidae.